GGGGAAUCAUCCACGUCUACGUCGUUCCACGACUUUGUUGGAACUUGGGCAACUUCCUAAGUUCCUUGGGCACACCUCUGUUCAACCAGCGUCGCUACGCAGCUUCGUACAAUUAUCGUUACUAUUCCGUUUCCGUAUCUUUCCCAUAUUUUUAGCCCUUUAUAUCUGAACUUGCAGUUUCGUUUUUCUGCCACAAGUGUUAACAAAUCCUCUUGAUACUGUCUUUGCAUCGUCGUUGCAAUGUUUUGGAUCGGGCUUUCGGAUCUUGAUGAUGUGGCGAAGAUUGAAAUGGUAAAGAAUUCUUACUGGAACUGGACCUAUCAGAGAUAUUUUGCAUAUUUUGCUCCCACGAUUAGUAAAAAUAUUCAGGUAUUUUUAUCUCUUAAACUAAUUACUGUCGUUUAUCGAGACAGAGACAUUAUUAUUAUUAUAUAUGCCUGUCUACUUUUAUUACAACAUCUGUAUAUUAACAUACUUAAAUGUAUCCACCAUUAUCAGGAGCAACGCUAAUUUUUGAAUAAGCGCUGAAGCUUGAAAGGAAAGGUUUAUAUCGGAAAUUAACUUGCAUUCAGAAACUGACGCGGCACACGCUAAAUCUUCUGUACUUAUACGGUUAGCAGAGAACGUGGCAGCGCGGUGGAAAAAUUCUGCAACGCGACACGAGACGGCAAUCGCUUAAUUGUGAUUAAUUGCGGUUUUACCAGGAAAAGAUCGCGUUGUAACGCGCGGCCCGAUUACCCGGCGCGAGUCGUUCAAGCGAUUCGCUUGCUCGCGCAACUUUAAAGAGCCAGUUGCGUGCAAUGCUUGUUUCCUUACUUUCACGCAUCGUAUCGAAACUAUAGCCCUCUUGAUUUCUCAGCCAUUCUACUCGAUCGUGCACGCUGAUCCUUUUUCACGAUAACGGUUAAGACCAUCCUCUUUCUACCUCUGGCUGACCGCCGCAAAUAACUUUAUUGCGGCAAUUAAAAUUAUCGCUGUCCCGGUUAAAUCAUCUGGUAUUAUAACAUUUUUUUCACGAUAAGCUUCUUUCUCUUAAACUCUUAGUAUAUACGUUCAUGGAAAUGUAUUUUCAUUAUUUUUCCAAAUCAACACACGCACUCUCUUUUGGAGUUUACUCUUUUGAAGAAGAUCCAAUAUUCUGCACAAAUAUUUUCUUUAGGCCUUUAAUGCUUCCUAAUCCUAUUCACCUUACAAGUUUUUCUAGGAACCAGAUUAGUUCUAUAGAUAUGUAUAAAUUGUAGCUUGGCAGCUCUAGUGUUAAUUAAACGGUACAUGAUGUAAAUGUCAAAUAAUCUUGAAAUCUCUACGUACAAUAAUUCUAUCCAACUUAUAAUUCCUCUGACUGCUAAAGUAUAACAAAAUUUUGCACACAUGGAUGAUUGGCUUUUAAAUUAUUUUCCAGGAGGCUGUGUAAUUAUAUCAUCCUUAAUGUUCAUGUCACAGGAAAAUGUGCCAUGAACCGCAAUACAAUUUACCUGCAUCACGUUCAAGAUGAAUACUUACAAGAUGUAAGCUUAAGGUACGAUGGAAGGAGGAAAGUUUCGAUGCCUAUUGCUGCGACAUCCGGUUUCCGGGCAAGUGAAAUGGCGAAUGGAAUAAUUUAAUACAGGGGCGAUACAAGGGCCAAAGCGAUCGGUCUAAUCGUGUCUGAACGAGGUUAAAACACCGGCACCCGCCGCUCUUAUUUACGUCCGACAAUAAGUCAAUUCAUCACUCUGCGAUUUGGCCUUAAGUGGUAUCACUGACUCAUACACACAGCCGUCUGGAGCGGUGUGCCUAUUUCGGGCAUAAAUCACUGUUGCCCGUGCGGUGCGUAAUAAUGAACAAGCGAGCGUAGCACGCGACCCUUUAAACGUGCUGGCUGGAAAACGAGUGGCUCGUAAGGUAGCAGGGAUUAGCUUUGGUCCCUAUGUGUCCCUGCUUAAUCCUGAAAACGUUACGGGCCGCGAAAUUCUUCGCCAGUAUCAGGUCACGUAAAAAUGCAAUUUUAUGAGUACGUAGGUUUACAAACCAGGAGCCAGGCUAUGCAGAUAAUAACGAAGAUAAAGAAAUGGAUUUUUAUUGCUUGAUACAUUGGUAAAGCUAGCGUAUAAUCAGUUUAGAUAUUUCAGGAGUGUCGUGGUCGAAGGAAUAUUUUUAGAACGGUAACUCUAGGAUUUGAAUUGCGAGGGCAAAAUUGUUUCUAGUAUGCAGUCGGUGAUGCAAUUGCGUUUGCUCAGAGAAAUAGAAGAUACCAGGGAAGAUAACGCGAA
Molecule: long non-coding RNA, 2252 nt
Organism: Bombus impatiens (common eastern bumble bee)
Lineage: Eukaryota; Metazoa; Arthropoda; Insecta; Hymenoptera; Apidae
Exons: 4
Source: RefSeq, a predicted model, not a curated record